This 610-nucleotide ribosomal RNA is filed under the name uncultured bacterium. Its description in RNAcentral is "bacterial SSU rRNA". It matches the Rfam family "Bacterial small subunit ribosomal RNA", at positions 338 to 950 of the family's 1533-position model. The record is from RNAcentral.
CCUACGGGAGGCAGCAGUAAGGAAUAUUGGUCAAUGGGCGCAAGCCUGAACCAGCCAUGCCGCGUGCAGGAUGACGGCCCUCUGGGUUGUAAACUGCUUUUAUACGGGAAGAACAGCAUCUACGUGUAGGUGUUUGACGGUACUGUAAGAAUAAGGACCGGCUAACUUCGUGCCAGCAGCCGCGGUAAUACGAAGGGUCCAAGCGUUAUCCGGAUUUAUUGGGUUUAAAGGGUGCGUAGGCGGCUUUUUAAGUCAGUGGUGAAAGCCUGAUGCUCAACAUCAGAACUGCCAUUGAUACUGAAGAGCUUGAGUACAGUUGAGGUUGGCGGAAUGUGUCAUGUAGCGGUGAAAUGCUUAGAUAUGACACAGAACACCGAUUGCGAAGGCAGCUAGCUAAGCUGUUACUGACGCUGAUGCACGAAAGCGUGGGGAGCAAACAGGAUUAGAUACCCUGGUAGUCCACGCCCUAAACGUUGAUAACUCGUUGUUAGCGAUAUACUGUUAGCGACCAAGCGAAAGCAUUAAGUUAUCCACCUGGGAAGUACGGUCGCAAGAUUGAAACUCAAAGGAAUUGACGGCNGAGAGNGCGAGGACGACGACGAGGGAGAGG